This 107-nucleotide small nuclear RNA is filed under the name Mus spicilegus (steppe mouse). The record is from RNAcentral. Lineage: Eukaryota; Metazoa; Chordata; Mammalia; Rodentia; Muridae.
GUGCUCGCUUAGGCAGCACAUAGACUAAAAUUGGAACAAUAGAGAAAAGAUUAGCAUGGCCCCUGCACAAGGAUGACAUGCAAAUUCAUGAAGCGUUCCAUAUUUUU